GUGCCAGCAGCCGCGGUAAUACAGAGGCCUCAAGCGUUGUUCGGAAUCACUGGGCGUAAAGGGUGCGUAGGCGGCGCGGAAAGUCAGGGGUGAAAUCCCGGAGCUCAACUCCGGAACUGCCUUUGAUACUCCCGCGCUUGAGAACUGGAGGGGACAUCGGAAUUCACGGUGGAGCAGUGAAAUGCGUGGAUAUCGUGAGGAACACUAGUGGCGAAGGCGGAUGUCUGGACAGUAUCUGACGCUGAGGCACGAAGGCCAGGGGAGCGAACGGGAUUAGAUACCCCGGUAGUCCUGGCAGUAAACGGUGCACGCUUGGUAUGGGGGGAAUC
RNAcentral lists this ribosomal RNA (329 nucleotides) under uncultured Verrucomicrobiota bacterium. RNAcentral describes it as "bacterial SSU rRNA". It matches the Rfam family "Bacterial small subunit ribosomal RNA", at positions 505 to 833 of the family's 1533-position model. Lineage: Bacteria; Pseudomonadati; Verrucomicrobiota. The record is from RNAcentral.